This 28-nucleotide transfer RNA is filed under the name Scapania nemorea. RNAcentral's name for it is "partial tRNA-His". The record is from RNAcentral. RNAcentral also lists the same sequence under 3 other names. Lineage: Eukaryota; Viridiplantae; Streptophyta; Jungermanniopsida; Jungermanniales; Scapaniaceae.
GGCGGACGUAGCCAAGUGGAUUAAGGCA